Long non-coding RNA from Oncorhynchus keta (chum salmon), 239 nucleotides. RefSeq lists it as uncharacterized. Lineage: Eukaryota; Metazoa; Chordata; Actinopteri; Salmoniformes; Salmonidae. The transcript has 3 exons. The record is from RefSeq and is a predicted model, not a curated record.
GGAGAGACACACAGAUAGGAGAGAAGUGAGACAGGUAGGAGAGACACACAGAUAGGAGAGAAGUGAGACAGGUAGGAGAGAGGAGAGACAGGUCGGAGAGACACACAGGUAGGAGAGACGUGAGACAGGUAGGAGAGACACACAGAUAGGAGAGACGUGAGACGGGUAGAAGAAAGGAGACGGGUAGAAGAGAGGAGAGACGGGUAGAAGAGAGGAGAGACGGGUAGAAGAGAGGAGAG